GAGUUUGAUCGUGGCUCAGAUUGAACGCUGGCGGCAUGCCUUACACAUGCAAGUCGAACGGCAGCAUGAUCUAGCUUGCUAGAUUGAUGGCGAGUGGCGAACGGGUGAGUAAUACAUCGGAACGUGCCCUGUAGUGGGGGAUAACUAGUCGAAAGAUUAGCUAAUACCGCAUACGACCUGAGGGUGAAAGUGGGGGACCGCAAGGCCUCGUGCUAUAGGAGCGGCCGAUGUCUGAUUAGCUAGUUGGUGGGGUAAAGGCCCACCAAGGCGACGAUCAGUAGCUGGUCUGAGAGGACGAUCAGCCACACUGGGACUGAGACACGGCCCAGACUCCUACGGGAGGCAGCAGUGGGGAAUUUUGGACAAUGGGCGAAAGCCUGAUCCAGCAAUG
Molecule: ribosomal RNA, 391 nt
Filed under: uncultured microorganism
Description: bacterial SSU rRNA
Rfam family: Bacterial small subunit ribosomal RNA
Source: RNAcentral